Long non-coding RNA from Helianthus annuus (common sunflower), 681 nucleotides. RefSeq lists it as uncharacterized. Lineage: Eukaryota; Viridiplantae; Streptophyta; Magnoliopsida; Asterales; Asteraceae. The transcript is spliced from 2 exons. The record is from RefSeq and is a predicted model, not a curated record.
CAAGCCCACCCGGGAUGGUGACUUGAGCGUUUGUACCCAACCCACGCCCCAUACCCCAUAGUCUUAAAACAAUACAAUAUACCUUUUCAGUCCCCAUGUGUCCAUGCAGAUCCUUUUCAUUAGUUGAAUAUUGUCUAAUGAUGCUAGGUAAUAAUGAUGUCAAUAGUGAUUGUGUGCAGUAUGCGUGUUAGCUUUGAAUCUCUGAAUGCUACAUCGUAUCUCCGUUGUGUUUCCGCUUGAAGAGCGACUGAUUUUAGUUGUUUAAUGCAAUCGGAGAACCUGAUUUGAUCUCCGUCGUAUCUCCGCCGUGUCUCAGCCUUCUCCAACGAAACCCUAGCUUUUCUCAGUCUCACGUGUUUGUUUAUGUAAUUUGACAAAAUUGCCCAUGUUCCCUAGUUCCCCACUUUUUUAGUGUUCCCCAAUGAACUCUACCCUAUAUAUAUAUAUAUAUAAAAAAGCUGAUGUGGCUUGGCCACACCAGCCAAGCCACGCCCACCAAACCCCCUUCAAAAGUGGGUUGAAGCCUUGAGUUUUGAAAGUCCACGUGUCAUCAAUGCCCAACCCAAGCCCCACCAUACCCCAUGAUCUAACAAGAAGAAAAAGUGCUUGACAAACUCACAAGCACUUUUCAAAAUCACUUUUUGCAUAGGGAAUAAAAGUUAGUUUUGAAAAGUUAGCAAA